This 569-nucleotide ribosomal RNA is filed under the name Suhomyces anneliseae. RNAcentral's name for it is "eukaryotic LSU rRNA". It matches the Rfam family "Eukaryotic large subunit ribosomal RNA", at positions 40 to 630 of the family's 3401-position model. The record is from RNAcentral. Lineage: Eukaryota; Fungi; Ascomycota; Pichiomycetes; Serinales; Debaryomycetaceae.
AUAUCAAUAAGCGGAGGAAAAGAAACCAACCGGGAUUGCCUUAGUAACGGCGAGUGAAGCGGCAAAAGCUCAAAUUUGAAAUCUGGCUCUAUUUUGGGGUCCGAAUUGUAAUUUGAAGAAGCGACUUUGGACCUGGCUCUUGUCUAUGUUCCUUGGAACAGGACGUCACAGAGGGUGAGAAUCCCGUGCGAUGAGAAGCCCAGGUUCGUGUAAAGCGUUUUCGACGAGUCGAGUUGUUUGGGAAUGCAGCUCUAAGUGGGUGGUAAAUUCCAUCUAAAGCUAAAUAUUGGCGAGAGACCGAUAGCGAACAAGUACAGUGAUGGAAAGAUGAAAAGAACUUUGAAAAGAGAGUGAAAAAGUACGUGAAAUUGUUGAAAGGGAAGGGCUUGAGAUCAGACUUUGUUUUUCCAUGGCGCUCUUUCGGGGGUGUCCUCUGGGUCUACAGGGCCAGCAUGGGUUUUGCGGGCGAGACAAGGACUCAGGAAUGUGGCUCUGCUUCGGUGGAGUGUUAUAGCCUGGGGUACUGGUCGCCAUGCGGGACCGAGGACUGCGGUACUAGGAUGCUGGCA